UGGAUGAGUGGCGAACGGGUGAGUAAUACGUGAGUAACCUGCCCUUGACUCUGGGAUAAGCCUGGGAAACUGGGUCUAAUACUGGAUAUGACAUGUCACCGCAUGGUGGUGUGUGGAAAGGGUUUUACUGGUUUUGGAUGGGCUCACGGCCUAUCAGCUUGUUGGUGGGGUAAUGGCUCACCAAGGCGACGACGGGUAGCCGGCCUGAGAGGGUGACCGGCCACACUGGGACUGAGACACGGCCCAGACUCCUACGGGAGGCAGCAGUGGGGAAUAUUGCACAAUGGGCGGAAGCCUGAUGCAGCGACGCCGCGUGAGGGAUGACGGCCUUCGGGUUGUAAACCUCUUUCAGCACGGAAGAAGCGAAAGUGACGGUACGUGCAGAAGAAGCGCCGGCUAACUACGUGCCAGCAGCCGCGGUAAUACGUAGGGCGCAAGCGUUGUCCGGAAUUAUUGGGCGUAAAGAGCUCGUAGGCGGUUUGUCGCGUCUGCUGUGAAAGCCCGGGGCUUAACCCCGGGUGUGCAGUGGGUACGGGNAGACUUGAGUGCAGUUAGGGAGACUGGAAUUCCUGGUGUAGCGGUGAAAUGCGCAGAUAUCAUGAGGAACACUGAUGGCGAAGGCAUGUCUCUGGGCUGUUACUGACGCUGAGGAGCGUAUG
RNAcentral lists this ribosomal RNA (659 nucleotides) under Kocuria arsenatis. Its description in RNAcentral is "bacterial SSU rRNA". It matches the Rfam family "Bacterial small subunit ribosomal RNA", at positions 88 to 759 of the family's 1533-position model. Lineage: Bacteria; Bacillati; Actinomycetota; Actinomycetes; Micrococcales; Micrococcaceae. The record is from RNAcentral.